RNAcentral lists this ribosomal RNA (208 nucleotides) under uncultured bacterium. Its description in RNAcentral is "partial 16S ribosomal RNA". It matches the Rfam family "Bacterial small subunit ribosomal RNA", at positions 524 to 729 of the family's 1533-position model. The record is from RNAcentral.
UACGUAGGGUGCGAGCGUUAAUCGGAAUUACUGGGCGUAAAGCGUGCGCAGGCUGUUCUGUAAGUCAGAUGUGAAAUCCCCCGAGCUCAACUUGGGAACUGCGUUUGAAACUACAGGACUAGAAUAUGUCAGAGGGGGGGUAGAAUUCCACGUGUAGCAGUGAAAUGCGUAGAGAUGUGGAGGAAUACCAAUGGCGAAGGCAGCCCCC